GAAAUGCGAUACGUAAUGUGAAUUGCAGAACCGUGAAUCAUCUAAUCUUUGAACGCAUAUUGCGCCUUCUGGUAUCCCGGAAGGCAUGCCUGUUUGAGAAUCGAUUAAAUUAUCAUUUCUUUGGAAAUGGAUGUGGGCAGUCAGCUUUACAGGCUGUUGCCUUGAAUGUAGCAUUAGCUUUGUGACUUGUUGGUGAAAAAGUAUGUGCUUACUUACUGCUUUUGCGGUAUUACUUGCAGCCUUUUGAUCCGCAAAGACAAGUCCGCUGUUAAUUCAAUCCAACAAACUUUGGUUUGACCUCAUACUAAUUUUUUUAGUAUCUUUGGUCUCAAAUCAGGCAAGAGUACCCGCUGAACUUAA
Molecule: unclassified non-coding RNA, 360 nt
Filed under: uncultured fungus
Lineage: Eukaryota; Fungi
Description: sequence contains ITS1
Rfam family: 5.8S ribosomal RNA (bases 1-103)
Source: RNAcentral